Molecule: long non-coding RNA, 3060 nt
Organism: Astatotilapia calliptera (eastern happy)
Lineage: Eukaryota; Metazoa; Chordata; Actinopteri; Cichliformes; Cichlidae
Source: Ensembl
AGAGCAGCUUACUAGCGGUCCCAUCCAGCUGAUAGCGGAGCAAACCUUCCUGAGUUCAGUUUGCCCUGUGCGCACGGAGAGCUCAGGGAGCUCCAGCAUCCCGCGGAGACGCACCAGAGAACCUGAAGCGUCUGCGUCCUGAUCCGGGCCCGGAGGAGCGCAGCGGGGCGGCAGCGUCUGCAGACUCCGAUGAACGCACAACAGUCAGUUGGGGAGCAAUCUUUGAGUAAGACUUCAGCGCUGAUACCGAGAUGAAGGCGGCCAGCAGACAGGGCAACAUGACCGUGGAGAAGCUGAACGGGGACAUGAACCGGAGGCCGAGCUACCCCGGAGAGCUUCGGGCCAAACACGCUAACAUGUCAACUAAGAUCUGGGUGAAAGUGGCGAUGGCGAUCGCCUAUUUCCUCUGCGUGUCCGUGGCCGCGUUCAUCCUGGUCAUUUACUACGUGUUCUUCUGGACGCCGGGCAAAGCGGACAACAUCACCGCGACACCGAACCAGAACCCGAACCAGAACGUGUGCCUGGCGAAGCCUUGAUGACUUUUACAGCACGCACGCACGCAUUAAAUAAGUGACUGCACACACCUGACACAACGCUGCGGCGGCGGAUGGAUGGAUGGAUGGAUGAGAGAUGACGGCACACAGACAGACAUGACUGCAUCCAGAGUUUGGGAUGCUGACUGAGGACCUGAGGGAGGACAGAGGGGGGGCAGGUGCUGCCGGGAUGCAUCAGUGUUCCGCAUGCAGGAUGCAGGUGGAGAGGAGGAGGAGGAGGGGGUUUUUCUUUCCAGCUUCACCCCAACACCCAGUCCUGAGGGGGUUUAUGGUUUUUUGUUUUUCAUUUCACUGAACUCGUCUGUCCAAUGAGAGAAAGCCUUAGGAACACACACCUGGCAUCUUUUAGGGCUGCUUCCCUCUGAUUUGUGGCUGUGUGCCUGUAAAUGUUGGUUAUUCUGAGAGUCAUGCUUACAUCCUUUAAAUCAUGGAUGGAUUAGGUGAAGCAGGACUCCUGGGUGCAGACAUGUAAAAGGUCCCGCACUCCUCUGGGACUCCCCGUGAGGUGUCGCAGGUAAACGAGUGCUGCAGUUAAAUUUCAGUAAUCACUUCUCAGGCUGAGUCCUGACCACUGAGAGCAGAUAUCACACUACAAAAUGACAGAUUGAAGAAGGUCCUGCAUCUGAAUGCCGCAUCCUCAGCAGAGGUCACAUUAUUUCUUUAUCGAACGCUGUCUGCUGAAGCUUUUAAUGUUCCAGGACCUGGUGAUUUUUCUCUCUUAUGUGACUCUUCAUUGAAUGUGUUUGAGUUUUAGGUGGAUGACGGGAAAAACCCUCUGGGUUCUGAGAGCAUACAGUAUGUUGCAUGCUUUCAUUUCUUCCAUCAUAUUCUAAGCAAAACAAAUAACAGAAAAAUUAAGUCUCUAGAUCACUCGUUAUGAUGUGCAGCUAACCAGAAACAGGGAUUCUUUUUCUGCUGCUCCUUCUAUAAGUGAGAUCACAGAUGCUACUUCUUUAGAUUACCCACCAUACAUUCAGACCAUUCAGUCUGAGAUUUCGGUGUCUUUUUCACACUUGUCCUAGCCUCUUAGUGUAAAUCUAACCAAUGUCUGUGCCCAGUUGGUCGCUCAUUAGUCCAUCCGUGCUUUAACUCUUUCACGUUCCUGUGAAAAUUGGACCUCUCCUGCUCACUUCCAGCUCUGUAUUUUACACUCUGGCAACCUGCUAGAGUAGCUUUGCAUGAUCAGCAGUUCAAAAUAAUCUUUAUUUUUCCCACAUGGCCUUGUUGAAGCCCCUCAGCUCAUCAAUUCUCUUCUAAUUGGCUGCCCAAUGCAAACAGCAGGUGGAUGGGACCUGUACCUGAGAGCUCUCUCUCGCUCUCUAUGACAUCACAAAGAGCUGAGGGGGAAAAAACCGCCUGAACAUGCACUGACCUCCUUAUUUGAAACUUUGUCCGUGUUAAAUAUGAGCAUCCAGCACUGGAACAGGAGAUAUAUGCCAAAAAACCAGGAAAACCAUAAGAGGUCCCCUUUGAAAAUUCACUUUAUACACCAAUGCUCCACCUUAUGGAAGCUUAGAAACCAUGAGUGUGCCCUGAUCCUUUAAACAUCCUGGAGAACAUCCCAGCAGACCCCUCAACCCCCGAAGCUGAUCCCCGAGAAACCUCAUUAGAAAACCCCACCAAAGAACUCUUAAACCCCCCACAAGAGUGCUUGAGCCCUAAACCCCAGCCUACAAACCCCUUCAGGAACCCCUGCAACUCCUCAAGGACCCUGCUCUGCACUAAUGGAGACUUCUUUUUUUUCAUGCCUAUAGAGGACUUUCUGGUUUUUCUCUUUUUUCACAGCAGAAUGCUGUUUUUAUUCAGGUAUCUAGAGGAACUUAAAGCGAUACUGUACUGUAGCAGAAGUAGCCUAAAUUGUGAUCUUCGGUAGCUCGUAGCCGUACGAAAUGCAAGGUGAUCACUCUCAGUAGUUGCAGCAGUUUUACCUUUUUAGAGCCAUCUUUGUUGUCUUGCACAGAAUGACCGUUAAUUCUCAAUGCAGUGUCACGUUUGUACCUCUUCUUCUCGAUGACACGUUUUGUUCACCUCACUUCCUUCUUCAGAAUUUAGGCUAAAUCUACUAGACUGUUUUAUUAACAAUGUAGCCUUGAGAAUUUAUUGUUAUGAUAUGAUAAACUAUGCAUUUAUUCCAGUGUGGGUGUGUUGUCUUUCUGUCAGCAGUUGAGCAAAAACAGGCGACGGGGCGGGCAGCUUGGUGUCGUCCUGUGCUGAAAUAACGCAGGGACAUUUUACUGAAAAGGCCAAGCUGACGUCAGGGGAGUGCUGGCCUGCAUCUGAAACAACACAGCCUCCACUUUCACUAUAAAUCAGAGCCGUUAGAUACUCCAGAUUACCUGGAAAUAACACUUGUGUGAGGACAUCUGGCCUCUUCAGUGUGAAAGCUGCUUGGCCCUCUCCUCACUGACCUUUCUCAUGUUUAUCUAAGUAGAGUGCUUUGGUAACCGAAGACUGUCGGUGGAUGCUUCUCUGAUGAUUAAAAAGGUUGUCACAGAACAGGAGCAGG